GGGGAAGGGGUGGCUGUGCGCGCAGCUUCAGCAGACUUAAACGUUCCUGCCUGUCAGCUCUGAAGAGAACAGCAGAUCUCCUAGCACAGCGCUUGAGCUCUGCUAAGGGACAGACUGCCUCCUCAAGUGGGUCCCUGAUCGCCAUGCCUCCUGACUAGAAGACACCUCCCAACAGGGGUAGACAGACACCUCAUACAGGAGACCUCCUGCUGUCAUCAGGUGGGAGCCCCUCUGGGAUGAAGCUUCCAGAGGAAGGAGCAGGCAGCAAUCUUUGCUGUUCUGCAGCCUCCGCUGGUGAUACCCAAACAAACAAGGUCUGGAGUGGACCUCCAGCAAACUCCAGCAGACCUGCAGAAGAGAGUCCUGACUGUUAGAAAGACAACUAACAAACAGAAACAAUAACAUCAAUAUCAAGAAAAGGGACACCCACCCAAAAACCCCAUCCAAUGGUCAAUAGCAUCAAAAAUCAAAGAAAAAAAAAAUCCAGAUCAAGUGGCAUGCAUGGUACAAAGUGAAAAGGAAUGGCUGAAGAGAGCCUCCUAAAAAGAAGCUAACGUCACAUUGGCUCUGUCUUUAAAAUCACUAAAGGAAACAAACAGCAGACUUUACAAGGAAAAGGAAAACAUAAACUGCUUACAUAGAAUAUCUACAUUUGGAAGGUGCUGAAUGGACAACUGGCUUAGAAAAACAUUAUAUUUCAUGAGUAUUACCCCUGAUGUUCAUAAUUUCAUAGUUAAGCUGUUCCCUCUUUUGAUUUUAUGCAGACAUUUCAAAGUGAAGUGCAUUAACUAUGUAUGCAAAUAUGUGAAUUCUUGUCUGUGUAUGUGUGAGAGAGAGAGGCAGAGUGUGUGUAUGUAUGUGUGUGUAAAUAUGUACACAAAUGCUGUAUAUUAAAAUGUUUUGAACUCUGUUAAUUCAGGCACUAGAAUGUCAGGCAGAAGAAAAGAAAACUCAAUCCACAACUGUUA
This 968-nucleotide long non-coding RNA is filed under the name Homo sapiens (human). RNAcentral describes it as "HSALNT0272398". The record is from RNAcentral. Lineage: Eukaryota; Metazoa; Chordata; Mammalia; Primates; Hominidae.